RNAcentral lists this long non-coding RNA (8449 nucleotides) under Coffea arabica (coffee). RNAcentral's name for it is "long non-coding RNA (CARA_LNC000296)". Lineage: Eukaryota; Viridiplantae; Streptophyta; Magnoliopsida; Gentianales; Rubiaceae. The record is from RNAcentral.
GAAAGAAGAAGUUUCAUGUUGGAUUGAUUAGAAGUAAAACUUUGGAAAGAUGAUCAAAUUCAAUUACUAGAAAUGACUUGCAAGUGCUUACCUUUUCAUAACAUUUGAGGCGACUGCCAUGUUUGCCAUGGUACUAAUGUCAGUGUUUGUCUAUGUAGUACUAUUAAUUCCCAUAUGAGCCAUGAUGAUGAGGCUUAUAUAGUCACAAAACAAUUGCAACAGGUAUGUAAGUAAUCAGGAGAUGAAAAGAAGUGGUUAUGGAUUGGACGGCAAAGGCUAAUUAAAUUAAUUUAUAAGCGUGCUAGAUGUGUUCAUUUUCAAAUCUUCAACAGCUAUUACGAUUGCAUGGAUCGUACUGAAUUGACUGUGGAUAUGUCAUUCUCAUAGUUUUCCUCAUAGUUUUUAGUCUAUGCCAAUGAACAUAAACGUAUACUAAUUUAAGAGCAGCCUUUUACGACCUGGCCAGUUUCUCUGAGCUGCAGACUGAGCUGAGGUGUGCUUUUACUGAAGCUGAUGUACAAAUUUUAACUCAACAGAUUUAGGCCCCGUUUUGGUAAGUGAGUCUCUUGUGUGUUUGUCUAAAAUUUUAUUGUAAUUUAUUGUAGAAAUUUUUAAAAAAAUUUUUGAAGUGUAUAAAUUUUUGAAUAUUUUAAAAUGUAUAGUUUAAAAAUUUUGAGAGAUUUUUUGAGGUUACUAUAGUUAAAGUUUUUAAACAACUUGUAGCAGACAAACUUGGCAAAAAACUUGUCUGUCAAACAAGGCCUUAGUUUCUCAAGUGAAAAGGGUAAAAAAAAAGGGAAAUAAAAAACACUGUAGAGAGUUUCUUUUUAUGGGUUCUAGAUAUUGAUAGAAAUUGAAUAAGGAUGUAGAAAGUCGUGAGAAUAAAAUAUGACAUUGUGAGUGUGUCUCUGCGUGAAUAUAUGUUGUAAAGUAGAAGUCUUGAAGGAGAUGCUAGGGAAAGAUGUUCUUUUGAAGAAAAUGAAAUACUAAAUGAAUAGAUAGUUUUCAAUUCUAGACAAGCUGACGUACUAGAUCAAGUGGUUGAAAAAGAAAAAUACUAUGUGAACAAAUAGUUGUUUAAUUCUAAAGUGGUUCAAUAUUACUCUAUAAUAACAAAGGAAUACAAAUCUAAUUGUAAUUCAAAGCUAGAAUUUUGCGUUAGGUUCAUGUAAAUUUGUAUCCAAUUAAGAUGACUUCUCUACUUGUGCAUUGUGUUAGUAAGGAUUUCUAGGACAGUUUGUUUUUCCCUUGCUAAAAAAAUAAAAACUAUUUGGUUCUCAAAAUUAGUUUGUUAAGUAAAUCAAUUUAUAUUAACGGAAUAAAUACAAGUCUGUGUUAAACUUUACGAUGACCUGCAAUGGGUGCUUUUUUCCGGUCAAAUACAAAUGUCUUAGUCUACGCCAAAUGAACAUGAUGUUAGGCUAAUCUAACGUGUUCCUUAAUGGCUUUGCCGAUCUGGUCAGUGUUUCUGGGCUGCUGAUGGAGGAAAACAUGAAGAAGAAAGGUACAAAUAAGACUGAAAGCUAAAAGUGGACCCAAUUAUUCGAUAUUUGAAUUGGCUUUGCCUUGAUAAGAGUUUGUUCGAGUUUAGUUCACCAAUUAAUCAAACUAAAAUUGAACAACGUUUUAUGUUUGAGAACAUUCAAAUUCAAUAUAAAAGGUCGUUCAAAUUUGGUUCGAUAAAUAAAUAAGACAAGUUUGAAUAAAAUUUCAAAUUCGUUAAAUUAGCUGAACAAGUUUGAACACACGAGUGUUCGAUUUGAUUAGACUCAUUUACACGCCUACAAUUAAGAAAAGAUAUGAUUAGUGCAAUUGAUAUUUGCUUUUAGCCUAUUAGCGAACCUGAUAGUGCAAUCUGAAAUUUUUUUUUUUGUUUUACAGAUUUUGAUGCAUAAUUUUAACGUGGCGUUGGUCUCAUACUCACAUACAAAGUUAGUGUACAUGAACAAAAUUCACAAGUGCCAUAUGAUAAAAUUCACGAGUACCAUAUCGCAGAAUUGGACAUCAAAGCACAAACCGCAAGUGGCAAGUUUUUGAAGUCAUUUUCACCCAUUUCGGUCCUAUUACGACAAGAAUAUUUGACCUUUUGAGCCAAGUCGAUAGUCAAAAGUCAGAGUUUAUAUCUAUAAAAGUAUGAAUAGUCUAUAGGUAAGUGGAAUCCAAACAAAUUUUGUCUUAGUUUUGACCAAAGCACUCUUUUCUCAAAUAAUUAGGGUUAUUUCAUUUUAGUUAUGGUACUAAUUAAAUGGAUGAAACAUCAGAAAUUGAUUCGAUAAUAUUAGUAAUUAAAAUGAAACAUUACCAAUUGAUUAAAUAACUGUAGUAAUUAAGAUGAGAAUUUUUGUCAUUUAAAACUAUUUAUCAACUUUUAUACUCCAUUUUCAAUUAUCUCUUGUGCCUAAAAUUUAUUGUUUAAAGCCAAUGAGAAAAUCUUAAAUAACCACAAUUUAAUAUUGUCGUAUAUUAAUGCCAAAAUACAAAACUCUUAGCACAAAUAAAAACCAUGCAAGGAAAAAAAAUCCUUUAUUGUCUUGAAAAAUCUUUAUAAAAAGAUCAUGAGUCCUGUACUUUUAUAUAAACAUGAAAAAAAGGACAACAGAAAUUCCACGGACUAUUUAUAUCCUUAUCAACCACAAUAGUACUCAUAUAAAGAGCAAAUAGGAGGGUAUGGAAGGAUGGGUUAGAUGAUUUGGGAGAAGAGAGUAUAAGUGAGAAAUUCAUAGUCGAGUCCUCCACUUACACUACAAAAAGCAAAUAGUCCGUGCUCUAUGAACAUUGCCUCUCAAUUUUGUGAUUUAAGUUCAUCAUAAGAAAAGAAAAUUGACAUGACAAACAACAAAAGGAAAAAAGAAACAAAUGAAAAAUAAUUUAGUUUUAAUUGAGAUUAUGGUUGAGCUUAGCCAUAUCCAAUCAAAUAACGAAAAAUGUUCAAAUACUUCACCAGUAAACAAGUAACCAAUUCUAUUUCAUUGCCAUAAUUUUUCCUUCGAGAACAAAAGGGAUAAAUUUGAUGUAUAUGUAUUCAAAAUAAAUAUAUAUAUAUAACAAUUAAUUAACCAAAUUAAAUAAGAAAAUAGUUCCACAGUUAAAAAGAAAAUAUGAACAAUUAGCUAGAAAUAAUUAAAUGUGGUACAUCAUCAACACCCCUCUAAAAAUUAUUUUUAUAAUUAAUCUUUACUUUACUAUGUUCAUCAAUUUUGUUUGUCACUCCCAACUCCACAUGUGCAUGUACAUUUCUCGUGGAGAAUCAAUACUUGUACGUUAAAGUAUGAGUCAUGAUUUAUCUGGAAAGAAGUAAAAAAAAAAAAAAAAAAGGUUCAAAAAAAUUCCCAUAUAAAAGUUCAAAAUUUUAAAAUGUUUUUACAAUAAUUGAUUAAAUGAACUGAAAUGUAUAAGAAUUAUUCUUUCUAAAACUAAUCAAAAUUUCACAAAGAAUUUUAAUAUCUCAAAAGUGCUAUACUUUGAAUUAAUACAAUCAUGUACAAAGCGCAUGAGAUAUUGCCAGUAAUCAUAAGUUGCCUGCGAAUGUGCACCACACAUUCUCAUUUGAUAUCCGAAAGUGAGGCAAUCCUAAAAUUGUCAUUGUCACAUGGAAAAUAAGGGAUUAAUAAACAAAGAUAUAUUUUUUGAAAGGAGCUAUCUGUUUUACAUCUACUACAAUUCUGUACAGCCCUGUACAUUUGUCUAUAUAGACAGCUGAGAAUAUACGCUAGUAGGAAUCUAUUCUAAUGGUAAUGCAAGCUUCUUGAUCUAUCUAUUACCUCCAUAAAGUUGAAGGACAUGUACGUACAUGCAUCCCAGUUUCUAUACAGACUAUUUUACAGGAGCUCCUUUGUACAAAGAAAGUGCUGCAAUUGCUUUUCAGGAACUAUCCAACUUGCACAUACAAGAAGAGCACAGCCAGGAUUAUGAGAGCGAUGAAGAAUAUGGAUAAACGCUCAGACCCCACGUUAGAGAAUAAUCUAACCAACAAUUUUGGCGGCUGCUGCAAAUCUGCGUGACUGACGAGCUUGGGAGGGAGGUAAGCUUUGUCGACUCUGUACCUGUUAAGUGGAUGAGCUUCAUUGUCUUCAAGUUUUUGCCUUCCCAAUCUGAGCCUUCGAUUUGCUGUGCCCUGGAAAGGAAGACUACAGGAUGGGGUAUCUUCGGCUGGCUGCUUAGACUUUUUCUGCGACUCAGGUUCUGGUGCAACCGUUUGCAGGUGUUGUGGACGCGUAGAUUGCAGAAUCAUCUAGCUGGAUGAUAUCAUCUUUCAUAAUGUCAGCAAAAUAAUCUUCUUCAAUGCUGUCACAAUCCUGAAUCUCAAAGAUACAGAUAGCUAAUAAGGGUCUUGAAGACUGAAUAAGCAUCUGGGCAUCAAUUAAAAUAAAAAUAAACAUACUGCUAAUGGAAUAGCUCUUUUUUCUAGUGCUUUAUCAGCAUAUGACACCGACUGAAAUUUCGACCAGUUAAACAAUGAUAUUAUAGGGACCCGAGAGUAGUGUAUUAUAUUAUAGGGACCAGUUAAACAACUGAAAUUUCGACCAGUUAAACAAUGAUAUUAUAGGGACCCGAGAGUAGUGUUAUAUGUAACACAGAACAAACAAUCCAUUUAUUGUGGUAUAAAUCACUAGAUGCAUCCCUCAGCCAAAAAAACAUGCAACAGCAUACCUUCUGGUGGCUGGAAGACGCAUAAGGAGACAAUUCGUUGGGUACUUUAUCAUCACAUUCAAAUCCAGAUUCAAUCUGCUCAGUUGAAUGCGAAUUGUUGCUGCUACUACAUUCCUUUGACCAGCAGUCGCCUAACAUGGCUCCUUCAGAAGCAUCAGUUUGCUCAAUUCCGGAUGAAGCAGUAGCAUUGUUGUUUGCAGCUGAUGGAUGUCUGCCUUCUUGAGGUUUCCUUCGCGGUGAGUCGUCUAAAUGGAACUCAGUGUUCUUUCUAAGGCGCCACACAACCAUGAAAUCUGUCAGGUUCUGAGAUUUAGCCACCGGAGUAUUGGCCGGAAUGCAAAGAGAAAAAGAGAACGGAAAUUGAGAAAGAAAAAGAGAGAAAAGAGAGAGAAUAACAGAAAAGAAAAGAGAGAGAAAGGAAAGAGAAUGUCUGUUCUGCAAAUUUACCCAACAACCUUCAGUUACAAUUUUAUUUCUAAUGAACUGCAAUUAAGGACUAAUUGUCAACUUAAGUCAACGACGUAGUUUCCAUCCUCUAUACUUAUACUCAAAACGAACAUCGUUAUGAAUAAAAUGUCAACCAUUUUCUUCUAUUAGUGAAGUUCCGGACAAUCCCUUCCCUUAAGCAAAGCUUGUCCUCAAGCUUGGAAAUCUGGAAACUGCUUCUCAAUGAAGUCUUUGUCCUCCCAGGAUGAUUCUGACUCCGGUAAAUGAUUCCAUUGCACCAAGUAUUGAACAACGACCUGAAAGUGGCGCAUGGUUGCUCUCCUUUUAAGAACUUUCUUAGGCUUAAGCAAACAUUGACUCGCUGUAUCCAAUGCUGGUAAAAUGGGCUCAACAGAUUGAACAUUCCCCACCUUCUUUUUUAGCAAGGAAAUAUGGAAUACAGGGUGAAUCCAAACUCCUUCCGGUAACAGUAAUUUGUAGGCCACUACUCCCAUCUUUGCAAUCACUUGGAAGGGUCCAAAAUACUUAGCAGUGAGUUUUAGUCUCUUUCUAAUGGCUACGGUUUGCUGCCUAUAAGGCUGCAAUUUAAGGAACACCCAAUCGCCCACUUGUAGAGUUCAUUCAGUCCUGUGUCUGUCCGUGAAAUGUUUCAUGCGAUUCUGAGCCUUGGCGAGAUUCUCUUUGAUGAGGGAUAUAACUUGGAGCCUAUCCUAUACCAUGCUAACUGCAGCAGGUAUGACACUAUCAUGGAAAGGUCCCAAUCGAAUAUGGUUUGGUUUGUAUUCAUAUAGUGCUUAGAAUGGUGUGACUUGCAAGCUAGUAUGAAAAUUAAUAUUAUACCAAAGCUCAGCUGCAGGCAACUAGCUACUCCAAUGAGAGGGAUGCUCACUGCACAUGCAUAUGAGGUAAUUCUCCAGGCACUGAUUUACUUUCUCACUCUGACCAUCAGAUUGAGAGUGGUAGGAAGAACUGUAGUGCAGGCCUAUUCCCAACAAAUUGAAUAGUUCUUGCCAAAAUCUGCUAAUGAAAAUUUUGUCUCUGUCAGAAAUUAUUGAUUAUGGCAAACCAUGUAGUUUAUACAUAUUGUCAAGGAAAACACGAGCUAUCUGCUGUGCAGUAUAUAGAUGUGUGAGCCUUAUAAAAUGACUAAACUUGGUUAAUCGAUCUACCACCACCAAAAUAGUGCCAAAACCAUGAGAUAAGGGAAGCUACUCAAUGAAAUCCAUAGAUAUAUGCGACCAAGCCUGUUGAGGUAUUGGAAUAGGUUGUAAAAGUCCAGGGUAAGGAACAUUUUCAUGUUUGCUCCUUUGACAAACAUCACAUGAUCGUACAAACUAAAUGACAUCCUAUUUAAUUCCAAGCCAGUAGAAUAGAGUCUGUAUCCCGUGUAAACAUCCCUUUGUCCAGAAUGUCCUCCCACUGCUGAGCCAUGCAAGGCUUUGAUCAGGUUGUUUCUGAUAUUGUUAGCAAACCCCACGUACAGUCUUUCUUUGAAUUUAAGCAUCCUCUUAUCCAAGUGAUAAUCUGAGUCUUCAUUAGGGUCCAACAAUAGCUGAGCUAUUUUCUAUUGAGCUUCUACAUCCCCAUUAUAGCUCUCAAUAAGCUCCUGCAUCCAAGCUGGUUGCACUGUGGAAAUGGCACACAUGUGGUGUGUUGUUGCAUUGCUAUCACCGAUUUCUUCUAGAUAGGACAUCAACCACUCCAUUGUCUGAUCCUUUCUUGUACUGUAUCUCAUAGUCUAGCCCCAACAAUUUGGUGAGCCACUUGUGUUGCAGUGGAUGUUUAAGCCCUAAUGACAAAGUGAUGGCCAACCAGGUAAUGCUUCCAUUUAGACUAUUUAGUUACAGCUAGCACCAGGGCAAAUAGCUCAUUUUCAUACACAAAUAAUCCUAGGUUCUGAUUUGACAAAGCAUUGCUAAGGAAUGCUAUAAGGUGUCCUUGCUGCAUCAGUACUGCUCCAAUACCUACUUCACAAGCAUCUGUUUCUAUUACAAAAGGAAGAUCAAAAUCUGGCAUGCUUAGCACUGGUGCUGUAGUCAUAGCUUUUUUGAGGUCUUCAAAAGCUAUAUGAGCAUUGUAGUUCUAUAUAAAACUCUUCUUCUUGAGUAGCUAAGUUAGAAGCUUACAAAUCACCCCAUACCCCUUAAUGAACCUUCUGUAAUACUCAGUCAACCCCAAAAAACCCCUCAAUUCUUUGACUGUGCUAGGGGUAGGCCAAAUCCUUAUGCAUUCUACUUUGGCUAAGUCCAUGCUUACCCUAACAUCAGAGAUCACAUGCCCUAGGUACUUUGUGGAUGUUUUAGCAAAUGAGCAUUUGGAUCUCUUGCAGUAUAGUUGGUUAUCAGCCAAAAUUCUGAGUACAGUUUGUAAAUGUUGUGCAUGAAGCUCUAAGGUGGGGCUGUAAACCAGGAUGUCAUAAAAAAAACCAAUACAAACUUCCUCAAAAAUGGCUGAAAUAUUCUAUUCAUCAAGGCCUGAAAGGUAGCUGGUGCAUUUGUCAGCCCAAAUGGCAUUACCAGAAAUUCAAAAUGCCCAUGAUAUGUUUGAAAGGCAGUCUUGUGAAUGUCUACUAUUUUAACCCUCAGUUGAUGGUAACUAGUCCUGAGGUCUAGUUUGGACAUAUACUUUGUGCCAUGCAAUUCAUCUAGUAAUUCAUCAAUAUUUGGGAUGGGAAACCUAUCUUUAACUGUCAGCUCAUUCCGUUUUCUGUAGUCUAUACAUAACCUCCAAGAAUUAUCUUUCUUCUUAACCAAUAAUACAGGUGAGGCAAAGGGACUUGUACUGUGUAUAAUGAUCCCAUUGGUAAGCAUCUCAUCAACCUGUUUCUCAAUUUCUGCUUUAUGGGAGUGAGGGUACCUGUAUGGUUUGAGUUUAAAGGGUUCAGCUCUUGGUUUAAGAAUAAUCUGGUGAUCCAAUUCCCUUUUUGGAGGUAGGCCUUUUAGAGUAGCAAACACCUAUGAAUGCUGUUAUAGUACCCUUUCUAUAGACUCGGGAAUAUUCUUCUCUUGAUCCUGUUUGAAUUCUGCCUGUAGUGUUGCACAGUUUCUUUGCUUCUCCUGAAUGAAAGUUCUGGGAUCUCUGCCUCUCACUAGCUCCAUUGCAGGCUGAUUAAUGAAGCCUUGAAGGUGAAGUAAUUCCCCUUACUACUGAGAGCAAUGCUGCGAGUGUGAAAGUCGAAAGUAAUAGGAUUGAAUUGAUACAUCCAAUCCACACCCAGGAUGAUAUCCCAUCCUCCCAACUCCAUUACCUUCAAAUCAAACUGGAACUGGUAAUCUUGUAUCAGCCACGCCACCUUAGGACAAACUGCUCCACUGGUUAUGUCCGUCCCAUCUGCCAAGGUCACAAUGAAGGG